GCUUUCUGGCCCAUCGACUUCUCGCCCUGUGGCUGGAGAGUGCCGGCAACGGAGUCGGCGGUGCCCUUGACGGAGUCCUGGGCCUGUUCGAGCGUGCUCUUCUGGCUGUCCGGCUUGAGGUUGGACUCAAGCUUGUCACCGGCACCUUGGCGGAGGUUGUCAGUCAUGAUGGCGGUAUUGUGUUGCUGGUUGGUUUGGUUUUGAUGAUAGUGGUUCAAAG
Molecule: unclassified non-coding RNA, 220 nt
Filed under: Hevea brasiliensis (rubber tree)
Lineage: Eukaryota; Viridiplantae; Streptophyta; Magnoliopsida; Malpighiales; Euphorbiaceae
Source: RNAcentral